AACGAACGCUGGCGGCAUGCCUAACACAUGCAAGUCGAACGAGACCUUCGGUCUAGUGGCGCACGGGUGCGUAACGCGUGGGAAUCUGCCCCUCGGUUCGGAAUAACACAGAGAAAUUUGUGCUAAUACCGGAUAAUGACGAAAGUCCAAAGAUUUAUCGCCGAGGGAUGAGCCCGCGUAAGAUUAGCUAGUUGGUGGGGUAAUGGCCUACCAAGGCGACGAUCUUUAGCUGGUUUGAGAGGAUGAUCAGCCACACUGGGACUGAGACACGGCCCAGACUCCUACGGGAGGCAGCAGUGGGGAAUAUUGGACAAUGGGCGAAAGCCUGAUCCAGCAAUGCCGCGUGAGUGAUGAAGGCCUUAGGGUUGUAAAGCUCUUUUACCAGGGAUGAUAAUGACAGUACCUGGAGAAUAAGCUCCGGCUAACUCCGUG
RNAcentral lists this ribosomal RNA (432 nucleotides) under uncultured bacterium. RNAcentral's name for it is "bacterial SSU rRNA". It matches the Rfam family "Bacterial small subunit ribosomal RNA", at positions 29 to 507 of the family's 1533-position model. The record is from RNAcentral.